UACGAAGGGGGCUAGCGUUGCUCGGAAUCACUGGGCGUAAAGGGUGCGUAGGCGGGUCUUUAAGUCAGAGGUGAAAUCCUGGAGCUCAACUCCAGAACUGCCUUUGAUACUGAGGAUCUUGAGUACGGUAGAGGUGAGUGGAACUGCGAGUGUAGAGGUGAAAUUCGUAGAUAUUCGCAAGAACACCAGUGGCGAAGGCGGCUCACUGGCCCGUUACUGACGCUGAGGCACGAAAGCGUGGGGAGCAAACAGG
This 253-nucleotide ribosomal RNA is filed under the name uncultured bacterium. RNAcentral's name for it is "partial 16S ribosomal RNA". It matches the Rfam family "Bacterial small subunit ribosomal RNA", at positions 524 to 776 of the family's 1533-position model. The record is from RNAcentral.